CGGCGGGAUCGUACAGCUAUGAUGGAUUGCUUAGCAAUGAAGUACCUUGCUGACCAAGGAUUAAUGCGUGCUCGUUACGCCGAACCAGCCUAUAAAAGGCGGGAGAACUAUUGCAAAAGGGAGGAGUCUGGCUGGAGAGCCAGAAAGUUGUGCUGCUUCAAGGUUUUCUCACACGGGUGCAGUACACGUGGAUGCUUUGGAGCCGCAGAAGUCCUGUUUGUCUUUGGUUUGUAAGCUUGAGUUGUAAGUGUGUUGC
This 256-nucleotide unclassified non-coding RNA is filed under the name Hevea brasiliensis (rubber tree). The record is from RNAcentral. Lineage: Eukaryota; Viridiplantae; Streptophyta; Magnoliopsida; Malpighiales; Euphorbiaceae.